CGGUCCAUACUCCUACGGGAGGCAGCAGUGAGGAAUCUUCCGCAAUGGGCGAAAGCCUGACGGAGCAACACCGCGUGAAGGAUGAAGGUCGUAAGACUGUAAACUUCUUUUCUGAGGGAAGAAUUCUGACGGUACCUCAGGAAUAAGCAUCGGCUAACUACGUGCCAGCAGCCGCGGUAAGACGUAGGAUGCAAGCGUUAUCCGGAAUUAUUGGGCAUAAAGAGUUCGUAGGCGGUUUGUUAAGUUGGAUGUUAAAUUUUUGAGCUCAACUUAAAAAAAGUAUCCAAAACUGGCAAACUGGAGACUGGUAGAGGUAAGUGGAAUUCUGCAUGUAGGGGUAAUAUCCGUAGAUAUGCAGAGGAACACCAAAAGCGAAGGCAGCUUACUGGACCAGUUCUGACGCUCAAGAACGAAAGCGUGGGUAGCGAACGGGAUUAGAUACCCCGGUAGUCCACGCCCUAAACGAUGAACACUAGGUAUUGGAGGUCUCGACCCCUUCAGUGCCGACGCAAAUGCAAUAAGUGUUCCGCCUGGGUAGUACGAGCGCAAGCUUAAAACUCAAAGGAAUAGACGGGGACCCACACAAGCGGUGGAGCAUCUGGUUUAAUUCGACAAUAAGCGAGGAACCUUACCAAGGCUUGACAUCCCGAGAAGAUCGCCGAAAGGUGAUUGUGCCGUUAGGAACUCGGUGACAGGUGCUGCAUGGUUGUCGUCAGCUCGUGCCUUGAGGUGUUCGGUUAAGUCCGUGAACGAGCGCAACCCUUGUCUCAAGUUGCAUAUUUCUUGAGAGACUGCCGGGUUUCAAAUCGGAGGAAGGUAAGGAUGACGUCAAAUCAGCAUGGCCCUUAUGUCUUGGGCGACACAGGUGCUACAAUGGCCGGUACAAUGGGCAGCGAAGGAGCAAUCUGGAGCANAUCCUCAAAACCGGUCCAAGUUCGAAUUGAAGGCUGCAACUCGCCUUCAUGAAGUUGGAAUCGCUAGUAACCGCAUAUCAGCCAUGGUGCGGGAAUCCGUUCCUGGGUCUUGUACUCACCGCCCGUCAAGUCAUGAAAGAUGG
RNAcentral lists this ribosomal RNA (1057 nucleotides) under uncultured organism. RNAcentral's name for it is "bacterial SSU rRNA". It matches the Rfam family "Bacterial small subunit ribosomal RNA", at positions 327 to 1414 of the family's 1533-position model. The record is from RNAcentral.